This 477-nucleotide long non-coding RNA is filed under the name Physcomitrium patens. Its description in RNAcentral is "long non-coding RNA (PPAT_LNC003054)". Lineage: Eukaryota; Viridiplantae; Streptophyta; Bryopsida; Funariales; Funariaceae. The record is from RNAcentral.
AAUAAUAUUGAUAAUAAAUUCAUAAAAGUCUUUUUUGGCAAUACCAAGAAUUUUUUAUAAGAUAAAUUCAAUCUUAUCAUCCAAAAUCUUCUCUUUUAAGAUGCCCUUCAUAUCAACUAAGGAUUCAAUAUCAAAUUGAAGCUUAUAGACUAUUGUCUUAUUUUUUUUUCUUAGUAUUGUCUUUCUUCUCCUUGUUUCUUGUUUUUGCCUUUUGUUGCUUAUUGAUCCUUUUCUUGGAGCAAUGUUUCUACCACUUAGGACCUUCUUCUUAUUAGUUGACUCUCCUAACUCCUCUUCUUCACCAAUUUUGUCUCUCUUUGUUUUUUUAAUAUAUCAAAAAAUUCCUUCUCUCCAUACUUAUUCACCAAAUAGGCUUUGAUGAUAGUUGCAUCAACUAGAUUAUUUCAUUUAGUGAGUCUUCUAAAGCUUAUAUUUUUUUCACUAUUAUUUUUGUAGAUAUAUUUAUAGAGGUUUCUA